GACGAACGCUGGCGGCGUGCUUAACACAUGCAAGUCGAACGGAAAGGCCCUGCUUGCAGGGUACUCGAGUGGCGAACGGGUGAGUAACACGUGGGUGAUCUGCCCUGCACUUCGGGAUAAGCCUGGGAAACUGGGUCUAAUACCGGAUAGGAGCCAUUUUUAGUGUGAUGGUUGGAAAGUUUUUUCGGUGUAGGUUGAGCUCGCGGCCUAUCAGCUUGUUGGUGGGGUAAUGGCCUACCAAGGCGGCGACGGGUAGCCGGCCUGAGAGGGUGGACGGCCACAUUGGGACUGAGAUACGGCCCAGACUCCUACGGGAGGCAGCAGUGGGGAAUAUUGCACAAUGGGCGCAAGCCUGAUGCAGCGACGCCGCGUGGGGGAUGACGGCCUUCGGGUUGUAAACUCCUUUCGCUAGGGACGAAGCUUUUUGUGACGGUACCUAGAUAAGAAGCACCGGCUAACUACGUG
Molecule: ribosomal RNA, 465 nt
Filed under: uncultured bacterium
Lineage: Bacteria
Description: partial 16S ribosomal RNA
Rfam family: Bacterial small subunit ribosomal RNA
Source: RNAcentral